RNAcentral lists this long non-coding RNA (238 nucleotides) under Phasianus colchicus (ring-necked pheasant). RNAcentral's name for it is "lncRNA (ENSPCLG00000003273.1)". The record is from RNAcentral. Lineage: Eukaryota; Metazoa; Chordata; Aves; Galliformes; Phasianidae.
CACAAGCACUGUAUAAAUAAAAGGAGCACAGACUACUAGUAGGAGUGAGAUAAAGCAAGCACAGAACAACAGAAGCAAAUUCUCAAAUGCUUUUCUAAGGUUUCCACUAGGACAGAAGGUGAAUAAUUCACUACAAUGAAUGGAACUAACUGCUCAUAUACAAAGGCUCAGCUGCUGUAGAUGAAUGGCAUCAACACACAGAGCUUCCUGAAUAGCGUUUGAGAUGCAAGACAUGAAA